UACGGAGGGUGCAAGCGUUGUUCGGAAUCACUGGGCGUAAAGGGCGUGUAGGCGGUCUAUCAAGUCUGGUGUGAAAUCCCCUCGCUCAACGAGGGAACUGCGCCGGAAACUGACAGACUAGAGUACCGGAGAGGAAGGUGGAAUUCCCGGUGUAGCGGUGAAAUGCGUAGAUAUCAGGAAGAACACCCGUGGCGAAGGCGGCUCUCUGGGACGGUACUGACGCUGAGACGCGAAAGCGUGGGGAGCGAACAGG
This 253-nucleotide ribosomal RNA is filed under the name uncultured bacterium. Its description in RNAcentral is "partial 16S ribosomal RNA". It matches the Rfam family "Bacterial small subunit ribosomal RNA", at positions 524 to 776 of the family's 1533-position model. The record is from RNAcentral.